RNAcentral lists this ribosomal RNA (400 nucleotides) under uncultured bacterium. Its description in RNAcentral is "bacterial SSU rRNA". It matches the Rfam family "Bacterial small subunit ribosomal RNA", at positions 355 to 747 of the family's 1533-position model. The record is from RNAcentral.
UGGGGAAUAUUGGACAAUGGGCGAAAGCCUGAUCCAGCCAUGCCGCGUGUGUGAAGAAGGUCUUCGGAUUGUAAAGCACUUUAAGUUGGGAGGAAGGGCUGCUGGUUAAUACCCUGCAGUUUUGACGUUACCAACAGAAUAAGCACCGGCUAACUUCGUGCCAGCAGCCGCGGUAAUACGAAGGGUGCAAGCGUUAAUCGGAAUUACUGGGCGUAAAGCGCGCGUAGGUGGUUGGGUAAGUUGAAUGUGAAAGCCCCGGGCUCAACCUGGGAACUGCAUCCAAAACUGCCCGACUAGAGUACGGUAGAGGGUGGUGGAAUUUCCUGUGUAGCGGUGAAAUGCGUAGAUAUAGGAAGGAACACCAGUGGCGAAGGCGACCACCUGGACUGAUACUGACACU